CCGGUACCUACACUGUCACAGCAGUCUGCACAGAGGUGCUGACAGCUAGCAACCUCAUCACCAGUGAAGGCUGUGGCUCUGCCCCUCAAAGUGAAUUGGGAGGUUCUUCACCC
Small nucleolar RNA from Molossus molossus (Pallas's mastiff bat), 113 nucleotides. RefSeq annotates it as small nucleolar RNA SNORA68. The transcript has a single exon. Lineage: Eukaryota; Metazoa; Chordata; Mammalia; Chiroptera; Molossidae. The record is from RefSeq and is a predicted model, not a curated record.